This 200-nucleotide ribosomal RNA is filed under the name uncultured bacterium. RNAcentral's name for it is "partial 16S ribosomal RNA". It matches the Rfam family "Bacterial small subunit ribosomal RNA", at positions 8 to 208 of the family's 1533-position model. The record is from RNAcentral.
AGAGUUUGAUCCUGGCUCAGGACGAACGCUGGCGGCGUGCUUAACACAUGCAAGUCGAGCGAUGAAACCCUUCGGGGUGGAUUAGCGGCGGACGGGUGAGUAACACGUGGGCAACCUGCCUCAAAGAGGGGGAUAGCCUCCCGAAAGGGAGAUUAAUACCGCAUAACAAUUAUAAUCCGCAUGGAUGAUAAUUUAAAGGA